CCCCGGCUCGGCUGAGGCGCUGAAAGGUAAAACGUGAGAAGCCCUCGCGUUGUCGGUAACGCAGCCUUGAGCCAUGGGGGUUUGCGGUGCCGGGUGUUUGCUUGGUGAUUUUGGGUUUAUUUUAAAAUAGUCGAGAUGUGCCAUUUUUAAUUUGGAAUGACUUGAAACAUGUAUCCAAAUUUUAAUUGCAUUGCCCUACCACUUUUAUUAAAAAAAUAUACUCCGAAUAAGAAUCAUAGGAAAAAACUUUCCCUUUGGUAGUUCUUUCCCUAAAGCUUGUCCCUGGGUUGGCGAGGACCCCAUUAUACACAUCUGGAAAUGAACACAAGCUGGAUGAAAUAAAGCAGCGGGCGGGAGGUGCCUUGUCCUCGCUCUGGCCCUGUCAGGAGAGGGGCUGAGCGUUCUGGAGCUGAAAGGGUGGAGGGUGUUUCGGUUGAGGCCAAGCUCCGUUUUUUGUUGAUACGCUUUGCUCAGGUUAAAUAAACAACCAACAUCAAACCACACAAAUUCAACUAAAAAUUAUCAACGAGUUUCAUGUACAGGAGUGCAUAAUCUGAGAUGGUUGGCCUUGUUAAGGGCUGUGGCAGAAAUCCAGUUAUCAGAAACGCAUGACGCAGUGAGUGUAAUUUAGCUGUGAGUAUCUCUGCAUGAAACUCAGUGUCCUCAUUUGUAAGGAUCCCAUGCUCAUGUCAUUCCUCUGGACUAGUACUGCCUGAGGAGGUGCUUCACCACUGCUUUUCUCUGGACCCCACUUUCCUGCCAGUGGGAACUGAAUCUCAGGGACCAAUGAGCCACAGUGUGCAGCACAGGCAAAUGCAAGUAUGUGUGAUCCGAACUCCCUCACUGUAGCCAGCGAUCCUUCUGAGACUUCCUUGCUGCAGCAGGGGUGGUGCAGCACGCUCAUGAGCAGACUGCAUAUGUGAGGCCGUGUCGCACAUAUGUGCAGGGAAGGGAGAGGAAGGAGCCUUUUCUCUUUGUAUCCUUUUUGUAGGGAUUAGUUAUAUCUACCAAUAAAGGCCUCUGCAAAGAGUUGUUCUAGCUCUUUGCACACCAGUUGCUUUUUCAGUGGUUCUGGGAUGUGUAUGGACCUGGCUGCUUAGUUAGAUUGCAUUUUCCUGUUUGGGAAUAAAUUUUAUAUGGUUGGGCAGAAGACGGGACCCUACAUGAAGACUUUGAGGGAACUGAUUGAAACAUCAGUCAUACUUUGGAGGAAAGAACCCACUUGGAAUAUGUUACAGUGUGUAAUCAAGAGAAAUGGAGGACAGGGAUGAUCUUGUGCUAUUUCAGAGGGAGAUGUAAUUUUCUUCUGUGCUGAAGUGCAUUUCCACAGUUGAGGAGUUUUAGGCUUUUUAGGCUUUUAGACCAGCAAAUCUUUCCUAGCAUGUCACACAUGGAGGAUAAUCCCUUAGGUGUAGCACUUCUUCCCAAUUCACAUAAAAUAAAAAUCUAUAAACUUACAGGUGGGCCAGGAUAACCAUCUCCUUU
Molecule: long non-coding RNA, 1485 nt
Organism: Cyanistes caeruleus (blue tit)
Lineage: Eukaryota; Metazoa; Chordata; Aves; Passeriformes; Paridae
Source: RefSeq, a predicted model, not a curated record